AUGGGGAGAGGAGGCCGCGUUUUGCUGCUAGCCUUCGUCCUUUUCCUCACGUCACACUUGACGACGCCGGCGUCCGCUGCCACGAAGUCCUGUUUGCUUGUCUUGAGUGACCUGACGUCUUGGCCUGCUCUGAUCGCUGGAGUCACCAACCAGUACGAACAAUUGUAUCUCUUCAAGGAAAUCAGCGCCAUCGGGUUGCAGAUCGACAACAGCUUGUUCCCGGACAGGCUUCACAAGGUCCAAACGACGCGUUCCUGGGAGUUCCUCGGGCUGGAGAGCGGCGGCGAGCCGAAGGAGUGGAAGUACGACGCCAAGUUCGGCGAGGGGGUCGUCAUUGGAAACGUCGACACUGGUGUAUCGCCGACAUCCCAAAGCUUCCGGGACGACGGCUUCGGCGCGCCGUCGGGGUGGCGUGGCAAAUGCGAUUCCGGCGAAGACUCCACGUUCCACUGCAACAAAAAGUUGAUCGGCGCGAGGAUUUUCAACGCCGGCAUCCAGGUGCCGAAUUUCCUGGACCAGCCGGUGGAAGGCAAGCAGCUGAACCAGACUGACCUGAACUCGCCGCGGGACUACGACGGGCACGGCUCGCACACUCUGUCCACCGCGGGCGGCGGUUUCGUCCAGGGCGCCAGCGCCUUCGGCCGCGGGAAGGGCACGGCCAAGGGCGGCUCGCCGCGGGCGCGCGUGGCCUCGUACAAGGCGUGCUACACGGCGGGGUGCUCCAGCCUGGACAUCCUCGCGGCCAUACUCGCGGCGGUCGAGGACGGCGUGCACGUGCUGUCGCUCUCGGUGGGCGCGCCGGCCGCGGACUACGUCGCUGACCUCAUGGCGAUCGGCACGUUGUACGCGGUCCACAAGGGGGUCGCCGUCGUGGCCUCCGCCGGCAACUCGGGCCCGCAGCCAGGCUCCGUGAGCAAUCUGGCUCCUUGGAUCCUCACGGUCGGCGCAAGCACCAUGGACAGAGACUUCGCAGCUGAUGUUGUCUUCGGCAACAGCACCAUCAAGGGACGAAGUCUAUCAGCGAGCACUCUGCCUGUUGGCCAGCCAUAUCCGAUGAUCAGCGGGCAGAACGCCUGCGCCGCGGAUCAAUCCAUCGACAACUCGACGUUGUGUUUUCCCGGUUCUCUGGACCCUGCCAAGGUGAGAGGCAAGAUAGUUGUGUGUACCAGGGGAGUGAACGGCAGAGUCGAGAAGGGGCUGGUGGUGAAGCAGGCCGGUGGCAUCGGGAUGGUCCUUUGCAACGACGCCGGCGGCGUGGACAUAAUCGCCGACCCGCACCUCCUUCCAGCGGUUCACUGCUCCUACUCACAGUGCUGGGAUCUCUUCAAGCACCUACAGUCCACCCAAUUUCCGGUCGGUUACAUCACAGCGAAGGACGAACUUGGCGUGAAGCCAGCGCCGGUGAUGGCAGACUUCUCGUCACGUCGGCCAAACACCAUCACUCCUCAGAUCCUCAAGCCUGACGUGACGGCGCCCGGCGUCGACGUGAUCGCCGCGUACAGCGAGGAAGCUCCGGCAACCGACCUGCCUUUCGAGGACCGCCGUGUCCCCUACAACAUGGUGUCCGGCACCUCCAUGUCGUGCCCCCACGUGGCGGGCGUCGCCGGCCUGAUCAAGGCGAAGCACCCCGACUGGAGCCCCGCGAUGAUCAAGUCGGCGAUCAUGACCACCGCAUUCACCGAAGCCAACGACGAGGGCCAAAUCCGGGACGAGACCGGCGCGGCCGCCACCACGUUCAGCUACGGCUCCGGCCACGUGAACCCCGUCCAGGCCCUGGACCCCGGCCUGGUGUACGGCACUACGCCGUACGACUACGCCAACUUCCUCUGCUCCGUGCGGCCGACCCAGACGCAGAACCUGAUCCCCUUGCCCCUCCCUCUGUUCGUCGGCGCCAAUGCCAACCCGUUCCAGUGCAGCCUUGGCGCCUACCGCCCCGAGAACCUCAACUACCCGUCCAUCUCCGCGGCCUGCCUCCCCGGCUCCGGCACCACCACGGUGAAGCGCCGGGUGAGGAACGUGGGCGCGGGGCCGUGGCUCCAGUACAACGUCACCGUCGUGCAGCCGGCUGCGGGGGUCAGGAUCACGGUGCAGCCAGGCACGCUGAGCUUCGGUAAAAUCAACGAGGAGAAGGAGUUCACGGUGAAGCUGGACGUCUAUGACACUGCCAUGGCCGGCCAUGUGUUCGGCAGCAUUGAGUGGUCAGACGGGAAGCACCGCGUCCGGAGCCCCGUCGUGGCCACCACCAAGUGCGGGUAG
This 2256-nucleotide ribosomal RNA is filed under the name Triticum aestivum (bread wheat). Its description in RNAcentral is "partial small subunit ribosomal RNA". Lineage: Eukaryota; Viridiplantae; Streptophyta; Magnoliopsida; Poales; Poaceae. The record is from RNAcentral.